AUCACUUUUUGAUGACUAUAUCACAUGGCACGUGGAUUACGUAGCUAAAUAUUAACGGAUGGAGGUUGAGGGGAUUAGUAUGGGAAAAGAUACUGCAGCAGCCCAUCAGGACUCACAUCAGUGGUUCAGACAAGAUUACAGCUGUGGCAUGAAAGUGAUGAAUCUGAUGAGCUGUUGCAGAAUAGCAGAGGGCAACAUGAUGAAUCUGCUAAUGGUGGGACACUGGUAAGAGAGGUCAUCAGGAGGAGAAGUCCAGUGACAGAAGGACAGACACCACUGACCUCUUGGCAUAUUUGGAAGAUGUGGAAGAAACAAUUAAUGAAAUAGUCAGUAACAGCAUU
This is a long non-coding RNA of Alligator sinensis (Chinese alligator), 341 nucleotides long. RefSeq lists it as uncharacterized. The record is from RefSeq and is a predicted model, not a curated record. The transcript is spliced from 3 exons. Lineage: Eukaryota; Metazoa; Chordata; Crocodylia; Alligatoridae.